AAUAACCCAUCAGAUUUUCUCCUCCCCAAAACCCUACAUUUUCUAUAUAUCUCACUCCCAAAUUCCUAAACCUAGAGGCAGAGCACCCCUAGGAAAGAGAGGACGACGGCUGUUUCCUUCAAAGAAACAACCCCAUGAGAAAAGUACCUUAAUUCCUAAUCACUUAAGAGAGAAGCUUCAUCAAAAGCAGAACCCCUUUCUUUUAAGUCAAAGUAAAUUGGGAUGAAAUGUCACGCAACUUUACUGAAGAUAGAAAAUUUUCAAACAUAAUGCAAUGCCUUACAUGGAAUAGCAAGUCUCAUUGGCUUAUUCUAAAUGCUUCUUUUACGCAAAAUACCAGUUGGGUUUGGGCAUAAAAACAAGGUCAAAAUCUAGCCGGAUCUCGAUCUGACCGGAAAGAGAAACUCCGGCGACCUCCAUUAACACCGACGAAAUUGUGUUUUGUCGCUCGCCACUUUUAUCCUCUGAUUUUCUGUUAUUUUGGUGACUUUGGUUAUAUAAAAUCAUAUUCGGCUGGUUUUAAAUUUUCCGCGCGAGGUUGUCCAUCCGAGGUUCUUGUUCACAAGUUUGAUGUUGUUGUCGGAUUCCAUUUCUGCUAACUGAACAAUUAUUUUGUUGAAUAGGAUCUUGCUCAUAUAAAGGUCCAUCCUCUACUUUACUGUUUCUAUUAGGCCACUCAUUUGUCUUAUUUGUCAUAUACUACUUGAAAUAUCUCCAUUAGAAGUGAGUAUUCAAUUUAAUGAUUCGAUUACGGUUCUUGAGUUUUUUAGAUCUUCUCUCAUUCUUUGAACUUUACUUAAUGCCACUAUGUGGGAAAAAUGUUUUUACUGUUACAAGUAUGUUAUUCUCAUGUUAAAAGGUCUCAUUAGAAAUAGGUGCUUGGAUUUUAGAAUAAUAUUC
Molecule: long non-coding RNA, 900 nt
Filed under: Nicotiana benthamiana
Lineage: Eukaryota; Viridiplantae; Streptophyta; Magnoliopsida; Solanales; Solanaceae
Description: long non-coding RNA (NBEN_LNC023423)
Source: RNAcentral